GCGUGGAGAGCCCGACAGCACAGGGAGAGCCGGCAGCGGGGCUGACUUAGGGGCCUGGCCCUGGCUCCAGCCCCUUCCCCCAGGAGCUCACCCCUUUGGAUCCAGGGCUCUGGCAGGGACAGGCUCUGAGCAGUGGUAGUUUGGGGAGGGAGAAGCUCGGGCCAAGGACUUGGGUCCCAACCGCUGGAGCUAAAGGAUCAGUUCAGCAGCGUCCGGGUUCGGGGGCUGCCCGUGAAGGUGCCCAGCGGCGCUGAGCCCCUGUGGUUCACAGCCAGGAGGGGUCUGCGCAGCAGCUGAGAAUCAGAGCCCUGGUGCAGUGCAGUGCCCAUGGGCUUCACCCUCUCGCUCCCCUGCAACCAUGCCCCUGCAGCUGUUUCUGGGGUGGGGGGAGGGUGACACCUAGCGGCUGUUUAGGCCCAUGACAGCUCUCCGGGGCCCUCGCUGACACCCAGUCAAGCACUCCAGCCAGCUCAUCGGCCCCUGCCUCUUCCCUCACAGAAGGGAGCUCCGGGGCACCAAGGUCCUCCUGACCCGGGAGCUGCACUUCCGCUCCUUCUCCUGGAGGGACUGGAGCACCUCGUUCCUGUGCAUGGUGAGGAACCCGGCCGGGCUCGAAAAGGUGCUUGUCCACUGGGACCCUAAACGGCCAGCACAGAUCUCCGAGCCGCAGCAGGAGACAAGGCAGGAUGUCCAGACCCCAGAGAGCACCCCCACCAUGGACCGCACCGAGAGCACGGACUGAGCGUGGGGACAACAGCGCCAGCCUGCGAGAGGCACCGAUACUGGGUCUACGGCUGCCAAGGCCAUGUCAGCCUCCCUCCAUGGCCAACACAGCUGAGCUGCGCUGCCCUCCCCUGCCCCCUCUGUUCUUCCUGUGUCUGCUUGCCGCCCGGCCGGGCCAUGGCUUGGCUGCCCCGGAGGCCUAGGGCUGGAUAUAGCCCCAGCCCUCUGCUUGUCUGUUACAUUCCCCACCCCAGACACAUUACACUGGUGGGGGAGGCUCCCAGAGGACUUGCCCUCUGGACACGGGCACAAGGCGGCAGUAACGGGGCUGGGAAAGGCCCACGUUUGCCCCCCACCCCAUCCCUCUUCCACCGCUCUGGCAGGGUCACUCUCUCCCCUAGUGAAGUGGGGUGACCAAAGCCGCCCCCUGCUGCCAGCCCAGCCUACGACUGAAGGGGGCAGGGUCCCUUCGACAGCUGCCAGCAAUGCCCUGCCCAUUAUAUGCCCAGGAGGGCAGCACCUGCUUGGGGCAGGAGCUAGGAGACCAGCAACCACAGGCCUCUUGCUGCCAGCUCUCCUCCCACUUUGCACUGUUUCUAUUAAAUAAAAAUACA
Molecule: long non-coding RNA, 1337 nt
Filed under: Chrysemys picta bellii (western painted turtle)
Lineage: Eukaryota; Metazoa; Chordata; Testudines; Emydidae
Description: lncRNA (ENSCPBG00000003976.1)
Source: RNAcentral